AUGCAUUCAGAAGAUGAUGAAGAGCUUACUACACAUGCUGAAUUCUUCAUCAACAAAUUGAAAGAGACAUGGAACCAUCACUACGAAAACUCAAGGGUCCAGAUCAGUCAUUUUCCAAUCGAGUAUGUCGGGACUACGAAGCAAGGAAACAUGCAUGAUUGUGGCUUUCACAUGUUGGAAUACCUUGCGAAGUGGGAAGGUCGACCGGUCCCUGUCGUCACAGCUGCAAAGCUGCAAUGGUCGUCGAGCUCCGUAAAAUAUACACAUGGAACUGGUUAA
RNAcentral lists this ribosomal RNA (279 nucleotides) under Triticum aestivum (bread wheat). RNAcentral's name for it is "partial small subunit ribosomal RNA". Lineage: Eukaryota; Viridiplantae; Streptophyta; Magnoliopsida; Poales; Poaceae. The record is from RNAcentral.